AGACAAUAUAGAAGACUAGUAUUCUAUGUAUGUAUGGUCGGCACGGUUUGGUAGCAUCUCUGGCUGCUGUUGAUCUUGUUUUUGGAGUAAAACACGGUGGAAGCUGAAUUAGUGAGGAUGACUCCUGCUCCUGUCAUCUCUAAGCUCCUCACAUCUUUACCUGCACAUGAGGAAAAUCACUCCUGUAGAAUGCAGUGGUUCAUCAGAACCUCUGGGGAUGUCCUGUGGAUUCUGUGGAUCCUGUGGGUUGCAGGGUGGGUCCUACCUAGACCAGGCUGAUCCUGGACCAUCCCACAGAUGCUCAAUCAGAUCUGGAUGUGGGGAGUGUGGAACCCAGAUGUUCAGAGGGAGAUGAUGCCACAUCUGGUCCAGCUGAUGGAAGGUCUUGAAGUUCUCUGACUGGCCUCGACUGAAGAUGGUCGUCUCACUGGAUUUAAGAUGCACAAUGAGGGACGUCUGCAGAGACUGAGAAAGAGUCUCACCACAUCCUGACAUGAGGAACAAGACUUUAUUGAAGACUACAAUGAGAAAAACUAUCAGACAGCAGACGGCUGCAUUCAAGUCUGUAGCUGCUGAAUUCAUGGAUGAAUCAUCUGGCACUAGAGAGGAAGACCAUCAAACAUCCACGUCAGCUGAUGGAGGUCCAAGAGUCUCACCAAACAACCAACCUACAGAGUGAAGACCUCAAAUCUGAUUGGACGGCCUCCUAUUCAACCACAUGUGUGAACAAAUGCCUCUAAGCUAAUUUGUUUUCUAAAAUAAAUCUAGUUUGAGUCCUAAUCUAUGCCUGUGUGUUUGCUUCUUUACACCACUGUUAACAGUUUAGGCUGUUAGAUUGUUCCAG
Long non-coding RNA from Amphiprion ocellaris (clown anemonefish), 844 nucleotides. NCBI's taxonomy places the organism in Eukaryota, Metazoa, Chordata, Actinopteri, Pomacentridae. The record is from Ensembl.